CUGGGUGGGGCUCAGUGGUAGAGCACUUGCCUAGCACGUGUGAGACCCUGGGUUCCAUCCCAGCACUGAAA
This 71-nucleotide transfer RNA is filed under the name Fukomys damarensis (Damara mole-rat). It matches the Rfam family "tRNA". From Rfam's summary of the family: Transfer RNA (tRNA) molecules are approximately 80 nucleotides in length. The record is from Rfam by way of RNAcentral. Lineage: Eukaryota; Metazoa; Chordata; Mammalia; Rodentia; Bathyergidae.